CCUCCUGUUUGAAUCUAGUGCCGACGUCACCAGUGUGCGCUGGUCGGCGUCUUCUGUGUGGAAGCCGGAGUCUGGAAUAAAGUUAUGGUGAGGUGACAACGAAGCAAUCAAAGUCCACUAACUACACUGCCUACAAUUUUCCAGAUUAAGACACUUUGUAUUUGUUGCAGUACCUAAAUAAAUCAGCUCUAGAGGAAGAGUGUGCAGAAGGAAGUAGUUCAUUUCUGAAAGAAAGUGAAACGAACAGGACUCAAGAGGAGGUGUGUUCAGGAGGCAAGUCACUUGUGAAGGGUGACAAGGAAACUGAGGGUAAUGAACUUAAAAAUGCAGUUACGUAUGUUACAGAUGAUGACUCUGUUAAUGAUACGGGCAAGGAAAAACUUAAUCUCAAGAGGAAAUAACAGGACCAAAGUACCCUCUUCUCAAAGCUCAAGAAAAGAAAGUGGAACGAAGAAUAUAUCAAGUAUGGCUUUUUCCUACCGCAAGAUGAACUAACAAGCCCUACUCCCUCAGCUCAGAGCAUGUUUUGCAGUGUAAAAUAUAGCAACCAGUGCCUGGCUCCUUCAAAAUUGCAGACUCAUUUAAGAACAAAGCAUAGCAAUUUUUUCCAGUCAAUGGUAAAGAAUGACACUGCGACUAUAAAACCUUUUCUUGCCUUUUAAAAUAGCACAUGUGCUCAUGAAAGAAAAAAAUCAUACAGAGGUUGAGAAAGUUAUCAAACCGUGUUUGAAAAUCAUUGCCAAUCUACUACAUGGUGGAAAGCAAGCAGUGGAUGAAGUAGUGCAAAUUCCUUUGUCCAAUGACACAAUGAAACUUCGAUCUACCAUGAUUGCUGAAGAUCUCAAGCAUCAGCUGAUGGCGAAACUGUUGGAAGCACCAUUUUUCACUCUGCAGUUUGAUGAAACUACGGGCAUUAAAAACGAUGCACAACUCAUUGUGUGUUGUCGUCAUCCGGAUCAAAGCUUGGGAAAAAAUUGUCGAGCAUUAUCUCUUUUGCUUGCCAGUCGGAGAGCAAAGUACAGGUGAAUUUAUUUUCUCCAAGCUUGACAAAUUCAUGGAAAAUGAAAAUUUAUCUUGGAGCAAAUGUGUUGCUGUGACUACAGAUGGUGCUGCAUCCAUGAUGGGGAAACAUAAAGGAGCCACUGCUCGCAUCAAAGAAAAAUCCCAGAAUUGCACCUUUUUACAUUGUUGUUUACAUCGGGAAGCACUGGCUGCCAACAAACUGAACACUUGUUGCAAUGACCAGAAAAAUGAGCUGGAAGAAUUGUUACAAGAUGUGGUGAAAAUUGUCAAUGCUAUUCGCCCACAAGCAGAAAAAUGUUGUAGAGCUGUGCAAGGAUAUGACUGCAGAUCACAUGAUUCUCCUCCUGCAUUCUGAGGUUCGAUGGUUGUCACGUGGAAGAGUCCUUGAACGAGUACUGUCCCUGAAGAACUGUAUAUUUUACUGAGCAAGGAAACGUGAAAGCAAUGCAUUUCAACAAUGAUUUUUGGCCGGCCAAAUUGUGUUACAUGACUUCUAUUUUUGAACAUUUGAAUCAGCUCAACUUGUCACUUCAAGGUAAAGGAGGUGACAUCUUUGAUGUCCUUGGGAAAAUAGAAGCCAUGAAAAUGAAGAUCACCAUGUGGCAUUCGUAAAGGCAAUUUCUCCAAUUUCCCACAUUUGUAAAGCUUCCUCAAAGAGUGUGAGUGGGAAGAAAAGCAUCCUGAUGUGGAGAAAACACUGAAGGACAUAAUUUCCGACCAUCGGCAGUUGCUGUCUAAACAUUUUGAAACAUAUUUUCCUCAGAAGCAUCGGCAGGACUUGGAAAAUCAGAUGUGGAUAGUUAAUCCUUUUAUCACAAGCCACAUCAAACGAGCAGAUUUUGGGGAAAUGUCAGAAGUGUUGAUGGAGCUUCAUUAUGACCACUCAAAAAUCAUCUUUUGAGAUGUACUCCUACUAUGGAGACUAUUGGGUUGGAUUACUUACUUUCCCUGAAUGCAAAUCAAUUGCCUUGAAGGCCCUUCAACCACUAGUAAUGACGACAACAACUUUCCUGUCUGAACAAGGAUUUUCGACCUUGGUAGAACUGAUAUCCAAAAAAACGGAAUUCUCUUCAGUAUGUUGAUUCGGUAAUGCAGGUUGCUUUGGAGAAGGAAAUUAAACCUCGGUUUGAGAAGCUUGUCACGGAGUAAAGGACAUCCUAGUCAUUGAUGAUAAAAAAACAUCUAUGCUAGCUACGCAGGGAGCCCACAUCAGUGUGACCAAUGAAACAUUGUGAAUCAACUGGAACUGAAAGGAGGCAGCAAUCCUCUGGUUAUCAUGCCGAGUGCUAUCUGUCAUGUACAGAAUGAUGUAAGUGUGUUGACUGCAGAAACUCUUACUACAAAAGAUUUGGAAUCUGAUGAAGAAUAUUCAGAUGAAGAUUAGAUGGAAUGUAAACCAAAAGAUUGGGGAAAUAAAUGAUUAUAUAAAGUCUUCUUUUAA
Long non-coding RNA from Amblyraja radiata (thorny skate), 2464 nucleotides. RefSeq lists it as uncharacterized. The transcript is spliced from 4 exons. Lineage: Eukaryota; Metazoa; Chordata; Chondrichthyes; Rajiformes; Rajidae. The record is from RefSeq and is a predicted model, not a curated record.